Molecule: long non-coding RNA, 1738 nt
Filed under: Ananas comosus (pineapple)
Lineage: Eukaryota; Viridiplantae; Streptophyta; Magnoliopsida; Poales; Bromeliaceae
Description: long non-coding RNA (ACOM_LNC009652)
Source: RNAcentral
AUAUAUAUUAUACGAACUAGGCUGGAGUACUAUCAAUAACAUCAAGCUAUUGGUACUAUUAGUGAAACGACCUAGCCCAGUAGUAAUAAUAACUGGGCUUAAACAUUUUAGGCCGGUGGUUUUGGCCUAACGGGUUAUUAUUGCUAGCGGAUAUGUUUCGACCUUUGUUAGUUAAUUCGCAAAUUAUUCGCGAAUUAUUGAAAAUUCGAAUUAAACGAUCCGUUUACUAAUGUUUUCCAAAAAAAAUAAAUUAUUUGCGAAUUAUUCGCGAUUUUUUUCCGAAAUAUUGAAAAUCUGAAUAAAAAAUUUAAUAAUUUUUAUAUUUAAAUAUAGAUUAUCUUAUAUCUUAUAUUUUAUAUCAAAUUCUUUUUUUAAGCCGAAUUUUUCAACGAAUUUAAAAAUUAGAAAACGAAUUUUAUGCGUAUUAUACCCAUACCGAAUUUUUGCCGAAUCCAAAUUAACUAACUAUGGUUUCAACCCUUAGAUACAAAACAUUUACGAUUAGGAUAAUGUGGGCCUAUGAGUUAUUGGUUUAAUAAUAUAAUUUAACGGGUAAAAAUAGUCUAAAAAUUAAAUCUAACGACAGAAAAUUUGAUAGCACCAAAUACUUGAUGCUAUCAAUAGUAUCCCAGCCAGACUCUAUAUUAUAUUAUUAUAAUACAAAUAUGAUAUGAUAUAUAAUGACUAUGACUACAAAAAAAAAGAAAAAGAAAAAAAAAUGAUCAUUAGGGUAUGUUAUUUGUUGUCUCCUUAUUAGUGGUUGGGGGAAUGAAAUUAAAGAGGAUGGAAAUUAAUGUUGCCUCUACGUGUCACCUUUAGUUUUUUUCUUAAGAAAAAAAAAAAAGAGUAUGUUAUCUGUUUUACUAGUGUAGAAACCCGUGCGAUGCAGCGGGUAUAUAAUAUUACAAGCAAAAUUUAAAAAUUUUAAUAAAACUUAUAUUUACGUGUUAUUGAUAUAUAGAAAACUAUAUCAUGUUAAGUACAACCAAUUUGCAUGACUAAAUUUAACUAUUAAAAAAAUAAAUUAUAACUAGAAUCCACUCAUUGAUAAAAUAUUAAUAUGGUGCAUGUAAUUAAUUAUUGCACCUUACAUGUAAUUAGAGGAGUGGGGAGGUCAAGGGUUGGGCGUUGAGAAGAGGAGAGGGUGCAUGGUUUGAUUUAAAAUUGGGCUAUGAGAAUGAAGGAUAAUAUAUUACGUGGUAAAAAAUUUUUUUAUGGUGCAUGCAAAAGAGUUACAAAAGAGAGAGGGUGGGAGAUUAAUGGAGAAAGAAGUUGUGGGAGAUUAAUGGAGAAAGGAGUUGAUUAAAAUUAUAAAGCUCACUCAUUAAUAGAAUAUUAAUAUAGUACAUAUAAUUAAAUGUUGUACCUUGCAUGUAAUUAGAGGAGUGGAGAGUGAAAGAUAACAUGCCAUAUGGUAAAAAAUAUUGUGGCUUCAUAUAGGUUAAUAGAUUUAUUUUUUAGAAAUAAAUUUUAGCUGAAAAUAUAAAAUCAGACAUCAGCUCAAGUGCGUGAUUUUAGAUAUUAUUAUACGACAAAAGUUAUUAAAAAAUAGUUGAUAAAAUUGUCUUUAAUUCAAUUUGAGAUUUUUUUGUUUAAUUUUAUUCUAUUUUAUUUUAUUUGAAUAUCUAGAUCCAAUUCGAUUUAUAAAACACCUUAUAUGAAUUUAUCUUCAAAAAUUCUAUUUAACUUUCGAACUUAAAAUUUCAGAUUUCAACCAUUAAGUUUUUUGCUAUCUGUG